Molecule: ribosomal RNA, 1259 nt
Filed under: Synechococcus sp. BD-1
Lineage: Bacteria; Bacillati; Cyanobacteriota; Cyanophyceae; Synechococcales; Synechococcaceae
Description: bacterial SSU rRNA
Rfam family: Bacterial small subunit ribosomal RNA
Source: RNAcentral
CACACAUGCAAGUCGAACGGGCUCUUCGGAGCUAGUGGCGGACGGGUGAGUAACGCGUGAGAAUCUGCCUACAGGACGGGGACAACAGUUGGAAACGACUGCUAAUACCCGAUGUGCCGAGAGGUGAAACAUUUAUGGCCUGUAGAUGAGCUCGCGUCUGAUUAGCUAGUUGGUGGGGUAAGGGCCUACCAAGGCGACGAUCAGUAGCUGGUCUGAGAGGAUGAUCAGCCACACUGGGACUGAGACACGGCCCAGACUCCUACGGGAGGCAGCAGUGGGGAAUUUUCCGCAAUGGGCGCAAGCCUGACGGAGCAACGCCGCGUGGGGGAGGAAGGUUUUUGGACUGUAAACCCCUUUUCUCAGGGAAGAAGAAAGUGACGGUACCUGAGGAAUAAGCCUCGGCUAAUUCCGUGCCAGCAGCCGCGGUAAUACGGGAGAGGCAAGCGUUAUCCGGAAUUAUUGGGCGUAAAGCGUCCGCAGGCGGUUAAUCAAGUCUGUUGUCAAAGCGUGGGGCUCAACCUCAUACAGGCAAUGGAAACUGAUUGACUAGAGUAUGGUAGGGGUAGCGGGAAUUCCAGGUGUAGCGGUGAAAUGCGUAGAUAUCUGGAAGAACACCAGCGGCGAAAGCGCGCUACUGGGCCAUAACUGACGCUCAUGGACGAAAGCUAGGGGAGCGAAAGGGAUUAGAUACCCCUGUAGUCCUAGCCGUAAACGAUGAACACUAGGUGUUGCGUGAAUCGACCCGCGCAGUGCCGUAGCCAACGCGUUAAGUGUUCCGCCUGGGGAGUACGCACGCAAGUGUGAAACUCAAAGGAAUUGACGGGGGCCCGCACAAGCGGUGGAGUAUGUGGUUUAAUUCGAUGCAACGCGAAGAACCUUACCAGGGUUUGACAUCCCCCGAAUCUCUUGGAAACGAGAGAGUGCCUUCGGGAGCGGGGAGACAGGUGGUGCAUGGCUGUCGUCAGCUCGUGUCGUGAGAUGUUGGGUUAAGUCCCGCAACGAGCGCAACCCACGUUUUUAGUUGCCAUCAUUCAGUUGGGCACUCUAGAGAAACUGCCGGUGACAAACCGGAGGAAGGUGUGGACGACGUCAAGUCAUCAUGCCCCUUACAUCCUGGGCUACACACGUACUACAAUGCUCCGGACAGCGAGACGCGAAGCCGCGAGGUGAAGCAAAUCUCCCAAACCGGGGCUCAGUUCAGAUUGCAGGCUGCAACUCGCCUGCAUGAAGGCGGAAUCGCUAGUAAUCGCAGGUCAGCA